RNAcentral lists this ribosomal RNA (799 nucleotides) under uncultured Glomeromycotina. RNAcentral's name for it is "SSU rRNA". It matches the Rfam family "Eukaryotic small subunit ribosomal RNA", at positions 314 to 1114 of the family's 1831-position model. Lineage: Eukaryota; Fungi; Glomeromycota. The record is from RNAcentral.
AUCAACUUUCGAUGGUAGGAUAGAGGCCUACCAUGGUGGUAACGGGUAACGGGGUGUUAGGGCACGACACCGGAGGGGGAGCCUGAGAAACGGCUACCACAUCCAAGGAUGGCAGCAGGCGCGCAAAUUACCCAAUCCCGACACGGGGAGGUAGUGACAAUAAAUAACAAUACGGGGUUCUUUCGGAUCUCGUAAUUGGAAUGAGUACAAUUUAAAUCUCUUAACGAGGAACAAUUGGAGGGCAAGUCUGGUGCCAGCAGCCGCGGUAAUUCCAGCUCCAAUAGCGUAUAUUAAAGUUGUUGCAGUUAAAAAGCUCGUAGUUGAAUUUCGGGACCAAUAUGUCGGUCGUGCCUCGGUACGCACUGGCAUCGUUGGUUUCUCCCUUCUGAAGAACCACGAUGUCAUUUAUUUGGUGUCGUGGGGAAUCAGGACUGUUACUUUGAAAAAAUUAGAGUGUUUAAAGCAGGCUCGCGCUUGAAUACAUUAGCAUGGAAUAAUGAAAUAGGACGUUUGAUUCUAUUUUGUUGGUUUCUAGGAUCGACGUAAUGAUUAAUACGGAUAGUUGGGGGCAUUAGUAUUCAAUUGUCAGAGGUGAAAUUCUUGGAUUUAUUGAAGACUAACUACUGCGAAAGCAUUUGCCAAGGAUGUUUUCAUUAAUCAAGAACGAAAGUUAGGGGAUCGAAGACGAUCAGAUACCGUCGUAGUCUUAACCAUAAACUAUGCCGACUAGGGAUCGGAUGAUGUUAAUUUUUUUAAUGACUCAUUCGGCGCCUUACGGGAAACCAAAGUGUUUGGGUUC